GCAGUAAGGAAUAUUGGGCAAUGGGCGGGAGCCUGACCCAGCCAUGCCGCGUGCAGGAAGACGGCCCUAUGGGUUGUAAACUGCUUUUAUACGGGAAUAAAAUUGGGUAUGUAUACCUAAUUGCAAGUACUGUAUGAAUAAGCAUCGGCUAACUCCGUGCCAGCAGCCGCGGUAAUACGGAGGAUGCGAGCGUUAUCCGGAUUUAUUGGGUUUAAAGGGUGCGCAGGCUGAUAUAUAAGUCAGUGGUGAAAUUCCCCGGCUCAACCGGGGGACUGCCGUUGAUACUGUAUAUCUUGAGUGUAGUGGGCGUUGGCGGAAUGUGUCAUGUAGCGGUGAAAUGCAUAGAGAUGACACAGAACACCGAUAGCGAAGGCAGCUGACGAUACUUACACUGACGCUCAUGCACGAGAGCGUGGGGAUCAAACAGGAUUAGAUACCCUAGUAGUCC
This 448-nucleotide ribosomal RNA is filed under the name uncultured Bacteroidota bacterium. Its description in RNAcentral is "bacterial SSU rRNA". It matches the Rfam family "Bacterial small subunit ribosomal RNA", at positions 351 to 796 of the family's 1533-position model. Lineage: Bacteria; Pseudomonadati; Bacteroidota. The record is from RNAcentral.